AGUGAACGCUGGCGGUAGGCCUAACACAUGCAAGUCGAACGGCAGCACAGUAAGAGCUUGCCUUUACGGGUGGCGAGUGGCGGACGGGUGAGGAGUACAUCGGAAUCUACUUUUUCGUGGGGGAUAACGUAGGGAAACUUACGCUAAUACCGCAUACGACCUACGGGUGAAAGCAGGGGAUCUUCGGACCUUGCGCGAUUGAAUGAGCCGAUGUCGGAUUAGCUAGUUGGCGGGGUAAAGGCCCACCAAGGCGACGAUCCGUAGCUGGUCUGAGAGGAUGAUCAGCCACACUGGAACUGAGACACGGUCCAGACUCCUACGGGAGGCAGCAGUGGGGAAUAUUGGACAAUGGGCGCAAGCCUGAUCCAGCCAUACCGCGUGGGUGAAGAAGGCCUUCGGGUUGUAAAGCCCUUUUGUUGGGAAAGAAAAGCAGCAGGUUAAUACCCCGCUGUUCUGACGGUACCCAAAGAAUAAGCACCGGCUAACUUCGUG
Molecule: ribosomal RNA, 492 nt
Filed under: uncultured bacterium
Lineage: Bacteria
Description: partial 16S ribosomal RNA
Rfam family: Bacterial small subunit ribosomal RNA
Source: RNAcentral